Long non-coding RNA from Harpia harpyja (harpy eagle), 806 nucleotides. RefSeq lists it as uncharacterized. NCBI's taxonomy places the organism in Eukaryota, Metazoa, Chordata, Aves, Accipitriformes, Accipitridae. The record is from RefSeq and is a predicted model, not a curated record. The transcript is spliced from 4 exons.
CUGUUCACUGGGGUAAAAAUACAGAUUUUAAUACCCGUCUUAUUUUAGUUCUAAGACUUGGCAAUUGCCAGGUAUCAUCUUUUCGAUUUACCCAGGUCCACCGCCGAGGCCACAAGGGAGAUUUCUUCCAGAGAGAGGAUAGAGUUAUUAAGUCUAAAGUCCAUUAUUUGCUUUUGUCCUUCAGGAAAAGAUGGUCCUGACUCUGGGUGGAUCUAACAAGGAUCCUGGAACUCCAGGGGUAUGGCUUAAUUCUUAGCGGAUUCGAUCCUGGCUUUACAUCAAGUCUCACAGGUUCUGCUUUUUGGAUUUACCGGGAACUUCCCAGUCCAGACGAUUGGAAUUACAGCAUUAUACUUUGACUGGUAUGAUCUUCUGCUUUCGGGAACGCUGCGAGGAGCUUUGUGAGUCGAGGGCGAUGGUUCUCCCCGAGAAUACCUCGGCGCCGGCCGGAGUUCGAUCGACACUCGAUCUCGUCCGGUCUCACUCGCAAGGUCCCGUCUGGGUCGCCAAAACCGUUACCGAAAUCCGGAAUAGAACUCCUUAACACCAACGUGAAGUUAAGAAGCGGGCACUUCGUUUAUCGCAGCGCUGGGGACACCGGGGAUCGCUCCUCCAAAGGCGUGUCCCACUUAGUAUCAAAAUCCAUCAGUUUUUACAGACUUUUUCUGUCAGGUCAUUGUUACAUAAGCUCUUUCCAUAAAAAGGCAUACUAUGCUCGUUCUUAAAUUUAACCUUUCUAAGGAUUGGUCCUUUGAUUAUAUAACCUUAUCAAUAUUCUUAUUUAAAAACAAUCAUUGGUCAGUUAC